CUGCAAUGAUGGCAGUAUGUUUCGUCAACAGAUGAUACUUUGGGUCUGAGUGA
Molecule: small nucleolar RNA, 53 nt
Filed under: Vulpes vulpes (red fox)
Lineage: Eukaryota; Metazoa; Chordata; Mammalia; Carnivora; Canidae
Description: Small nucleolar RNA SNORD56 (ENSVVUG00000026027.1)
Rfam family: Small nucleolar RNA SNORD56
About the family: U56 belongs to the C/D class of snoRNA which contain the C (UGAUGA) and D (CUGA) box motifs. Most of the members of the box C/D family function in directing site-specific 2'-O-methylation of substrate RNAs.
Source: Rfam by way of RNAcentral